This 303-nucleotide ribosomal RNA is filed under the name uncultured bacterium. RNAcentral's name for it is "bacterial SSU rRNA". It matches the Rfam family "Bacterial small subunit ribosomal RNA", at positions 355 to 675 of the family's 1533-position model. The record is from RNAcentral.
UGGGGAAUAUUGCACAAUGGGGGAAACCCUGAUGCAGCGACGCCGCGUGAGCGAUGAAGUAUUUCGGUAUGUAAAGCUCUAUCAGCAGGGAAGAAAAUGACGGUACCUGACUAAGAAGCCCCGGCUAACUACGUGCCAGCAGCCGCGGUAAUACGUAGGGGGCAAGCGUUAUCCGGAUUUACUGGGUGUAAAGGGAGCGUAGACGGUCCUGCAAGCCAGAUGUGAAAGCCCGGGGCUCAACCCCGGGACUGCAUUUGGAACUGUAAGGCUAGAGUGUCGGAGAGGCAGGCGGAAUUCCUAGUG